Molecule: long non-coding RNA, 567 nt
Organism: Gossypium arboreum
Lineage: Eukaryota; Viridiplantae; Streptophyta; Magnoliopsida; Malvales; Malvaceae
Exons: 3
Source: RefSeq, a predicted model, not a curated record
AUAGGUUAGGUAAAUGUUCCAUGAUAAUGGGUUAGGUAAAUGUUUCAUGAUAAGAAUUUCAUGUCUUUUGUAUUAAAGAAUUAAAUGGAUGAAAUAUGAAGUUUUAUUAAAAGAAAAAUGGGUGAAAAGAACAAAGUUUUGUCCAUCUUUGUUCAUCAUAGCUGAAAGUUAGAGAAGAGAAAGGAGAGGAGAAAGCUCUUGAGUAUUUGGUCAUUAGGAGGAGGAAAAUUGAAGGCGGUUCAUGUGAGGAUCUCGUCAGCAUAUCGUCGCAAACAGGUAAUCCCCAACCAUAGUGGGCUUGGAGCUGUGAGGGAAUUCGGAGUGGCCACCCAUUCUGAAAGUUUGAUUUUCUUCUGGUGAACUGGACAUCCUUUUAAUUACGUUUGAGGUUUUGGGCUUUUAAAUGUAAUAAGGCCGCUUAUUUAUUUUUGAUGGUUUUUAAUAUGUAUUACUAAGAUAAGUAAUACUUAUUUUAACUGUUGAAAUUGGAUAGCUUUAGGGAGCGUUUUCAAAAACAACAGUUGAUUUCAAAAUAACACGACAACAAGCAAAGCUUCCGCAAAGAAA